Molecule: long non-coding RNA, 1661 nt
Filed under: Triticum aestivum (bread wheat)
Lineage: Eukaryota; Viridiplantae; Streptophyta; Magnoliopsida; Poales; Poaceae
Description: long non-coding RNA (TAES_LNC007610)
Source: RNAcentral
UAAAUACCAUGCUAACAAAUUGAAGGUAAAAACUAUAUGUAUAUAACAAAUUAAAGAGUCCAUGACAUAGGCAAAAAAUACAAGACGAGCACUAGGCGCCGGCGCACCGGCCCAAAUUUGGGCCGGUCCGCUGCCAAACGUCCGAUACAACCUUUCGUCACCGUCAGAUUGCUUUCUCUUAAAAAGUCAAACACGUACGAAGAAAAAAAAAGAAAAGGCAGUCGUGCGCACACACUGGAUCUCGCACGCUCGUCGGCCACCUGCGCUUGUCGUCGGCUUCCCAUGCUUGCUUGCCACCUGUGCCACCACGCCCGCCACCCGUGCUCGCCGACCGCUCGUGCGUCCACUCGCCAUGGCCGCCCCCGCUCUCCAUGGCUGCAGCCUGCAGUUCGAACACGGAUAGGUUACAGCACGCAGUCACCAUGGUUUGCAGUAUCCCCCGGCGUUCCCUCAUCUCUGACUCGCCGCCAUUGUCGAUUUGCCCGCCAUGUCCAGCAAAAAUAAUCUAAGCAACAAAACCUGGUGGUGCUAGGUUGAAGCAACAAAAAAUAUCGGUUCUAGCACAACUAAAUGAUGGUUCCAGCAAAAAUUCUCAUCAGCAGAAAACCAUGGCUCGCAGCCAACAGCGGUAGUAGCAAAAUUUUGUGUUGAUUCCAGCAAAGCCAAAAACAGUGGAAGCAAAAAUGCAUAACUGGGCCCUUUGUGCAAGGAUGUUCUAGCAAAAAUUGAGACAUCGGUGGUAGCAAAAAUUGAAGCUGCUUCCAGCAAAUCAAAACACCAUUUGUAGCAAAAAUGCAAAAUUGGGCGUUCUUCCAGCAAUAGCGAAAGCGGCAGUUGUAGCAAGAAUUAGAGCUGGUUCCAGCAAAUCAAAACACCAUUUGUAGCAAAAAUGCAAAAAUAGGCGUUCUCCAGCAAAAGCGAAAUCGGCGGCUGUAGCAAAAAUUGAAGCUGGUUCCAGCAAGUCAAAACACUAUUUGUAGCAAAAAUGUAAAAUUCCAGCAAAAUCAAAAGCGGCACUUGUAGCAAAAAAUUGUAGUUGAUUCCAGCAAAUCAAAACACCUGUUGUAGCAAAUUGCAAAAAAUUGACGCAGGAACUAGCGAAACCAAAGCGUCGAUGGUAGCAAAAAUUAGUGUUUGUUCCAGCAAACCAAAAAACGGUGGUAGCAAAAAUGUAAAAAUGGUCCAGCAUAAAAAAUACCUUCGCUUCCGGCAUCGCCAUGUUCCUAGCUCGGCCCGCAAGCAAUUGCAGCACGUCAUGAGCAAGUUCCAGCACCACCAUGAGCCGGGCCCAGGCAAUGGGUGUCGUCGAAGUCGAACCACCGGUGGGCUCUCCUGUCCACAGCGCCAGUGGCUUCUCCCGUCCACAACACCGGUCGACACACCGGUGCUGAACCUUCGCAGCAGUUGCCGUUCGACGGUCGUCGCAGCUCGCCAGCUUGUGGGAGUGCUGGCAGCUUGAGGUAGAAGGAGGGGGAGAGGUAGAGAACGCCAAUGGUGAGGGAGGCGGAAGAAGGAGAGGGAGAGAUGGGCAGCGCCGAUGGGAGGAGAGGUGGAAGAAGGAGAGGAAGAGGUGGGUAGCGCAGCGGGGAAUUGUGACCAGAAAACUCAACGGAGGAAGAAGAUAAGGAGGAGGAAGAAGAUAAGGAGGACAGAGCGGUGCG